UACGGAGGGGGCGAGUGUUGUUCGGAAUUACUGGGCGUAAAGGGCGCGCAGGCGGCUUGGCAAGUCGAGUGUGAAAUCCCUCGGCUCAACUGAGGAACUGCACGGGAAACUGCCUGGCUUGAGUUCGGGAGAGGGAAGCGGAAUUCCGGGUGUAGCGGUGAAAUGCAUAGAUAUCCGGAGGAACACCGGUGGCGAAGGCGGCUUCCUGGACCGACACUGACGCUGAGGCGCGAAAGCUAGGGGAGCAAACAGG
This 253-nucleotide ribosomal RNA is filed under the name uncultured bacterium. Its description in RNAcentral is "partial 16S ribosomal RNA". It matches the Rfam family "Bacterial small subunit ribosomal RNA", at positions 524 to 776 of the family's 1533-position model. The record is from RNAcentral.